GAUGAAGAACGCAGCGAAAUGCGAUAAGUAGUGUGAAUUGCAGAAUUCAGUGAAUCAUCGAAUCUUUGAACGCACAUUGCGCCCCUUGGUAUUCCAUGGGGCAUGCCUGUUCGAGCGUUAUUUGUAUCUUCAAGCUUUGCUUGGUGUUGGGUGUUUGUCCUGCUCUAUGCGUGGACUCGCCUUAAAUCAAUUGGCAGCCGGUAAUCUGGUGUUAAGAGCGCAGCACAUUGUGCGCUCCUCGCUGUGUAUUGCGGCGUCCAUUAUGCCUAUAUUUUUUGCUCUUGACCUCGGAUCAGGUAGGGAUACCCGCUGAACUUAAGCAUAUCAAUAAGCGGAGGA
Molecule: unclassified non-coding RNA, 339 nt
Filed under: soil metagenome
Description: partial contains 5.8S ribosomal RNA, internal transcribed spacer 2, and large subunit ribosomal RNA
Rfam family: 5.8S ribosomal RNA (bases 1-120)
Source: RNAcentral